CUACGGGGGCAGCAGUGGGGAAUAUUGGACAAUGGACCAAAAGUCUGAUCCAGCAAUUCUGUGUGUUUGAUGAAGGCCUUCGGGUUGUAAAGAACCUUAAGUAGGGAAGAAGAAAGUGACGGUACCUACAGAAUAAGCGACGGCUAAAUACGUGCCAGCAGCCGCGGUAAUACGUAUGUCGCAAGCGUUAUCCGGAAUUAUUGGGCAUAAAGCGCGUCUAGGCGGUUUACUAAGUCUGAUGUGAAAAUGCGGGGCUCAACUCCGUAUUGCGUUGGAAACUGGUAGACUAGAGUAUUGGAGAGGUAGGCGGAACUACAAGUGUAGAGGUGAAAUUCGUAGAUAUUUGUAGGAAUGCCAAUGACGAAGGUAGCUUACUGGACAAAUACUGACGCUGAAGCGCGAAAGCUAGGGGAGCAAACAGGAUUAGAUACCCCAGUAGUC
Molecule: ribosomal RNA, 441 nt
Filed under: uncultured bacterium
Lineage: Bacteria
Description: partial 16S ribosomal RNA
Rfam family: Bacterial small subunit ribosomal RNA
Source: RNAcentral